AACACACAGGGAAAACACACAGGGAAAACAAACAGGCAAAAACAACCCAGGAAAACACACAGGGGAAACACACAGGGAAACACACAGGGGAAACACACAGAGGUGCCUCUACUCACAGCACAACCCACAAAGGUAUUCUAUUGGAGAAUACGGAUAUGUUCCCCAGCAAGAAAACCAAAAACCUGUUGCUCAAAUAGAAGGGGGAACUAACAAAGAGUCACUGACAACAACCAGAACUAAACAGAUGGGGUUUUAGGAGGGGUUCUGAAAGACACUCAUGGGGGAUUCCACUGAAAGUUGACUAGCAACAACUGGGACCUAAAAGACACACAUCCUGAGACCCACUAAAUCUGCCCACUAAGAGGCAAACAAAAGAGAAACCCACCCCAAAGUUAGACAGGAAGUUGACCAAAGAAUGGAGCAAAAUGAAAACAGGGAAGAUCAGAUAAAGGAAUGUUUGUCUAGAAAUGAAAAUAGGGAGAGACAACUAAAGGAGUUAACCCUUCACAUCUCAGUAACACAUAUCGACUAACGAGGUGACUAACCAGCACAUGAGUAACACAUACCGACUAACAAGGUGACCAACCAGCACAGGAGUAACACAUACUGACUAACGAGAUGACCAACCAGCACAGGAGUAACACAUACUGACUAACGAGGUGACCAACCAGCACAUGAGUAACACAUACCGAAUAAUGAGGUGACCAACCAGCACAGGAGUAACACAUACCGACUAACGAGGUGACCAACCAGCACAUGAGUAACACAUACCGACUAACGAGGUGACCAACCAGCACAGAAGUAACACAUACUGACUAACGAGGUGACCAACCAGCACAGGAGUUACACAUACUGACUAACGAGGUGACCAACCAGCACAGGAGUUACACAUACCGACUAACGAGGUGACCAACCAGCACAGGAGUUACACAUACUGACUAACGAGGUGACCAACCAGCACAGGAGUAACACAGACUGACUAACGAGAUGACCAACCAGCACAGGAGUAACACAUACUGACUAACGAGGUGACCAACCAGCACAUGAGUAACACAUACCGACUAAUGAGGUGACCAACCAGCACAGGAGUAACACAUACCGACUAACGAGGUGACCAACCAGCACAGAAGUAACACAUACUGACUAACGAGGUGACCAACCAGCACAGGAGUUACACAUACUGACUAACGAGGUGACCAACCAGCACAGGAGUUACACAUACCGACUAACGAGGUGACCAACCAGCACAGGAGUUACACAUACUGACUAACGAGGUGACCAACCAGCACAGGAGUUACACAUACUGACUAACGAGGUGACCAACCAGCACAGGAGUUACACAUACCGACUAACGAGGUGACCAACCAGCACAGGAGUAACACAUACUGACUAACGAGCUGACCAACCAGCACAGGAGUUACACAUACUGACUAAUGAGGUGACCAACCAGCACAGGAGUUACACAUACCGACUAACGAGGUGACCAACCAGCACAUGAGUAACACAUACUGACUAACGAGGUGACCAACCAGCACAGAAGUAACACAUACUGACUAACGAGGUGACCAAC
Non-coding RNA from Oncorhynchus mykiss (rainbow trout), 1570 nucleotides. The record is from RefSeq and is a predicted model, not a curated record. NCBI's taxonomy places the organism in Eukaryota, Metazoa, Chordata, Actinopteri, Salmoniformes, Salmonidae.